UUAAUUGAAGAGUUUGAUCAUGGCUCAGAUUGAACGCUGGCGGCAGGCCUAACACAUGCAAGUCGGGCGGUAACAGGGGGAAGCUUGCUUCUCUGCUGACGAGCGGCGGACGGGUGAGUAAUGUAUGGGGAUCUGCCUGAUGGAGGGGGAUAACUACUGGAAACGGUAGCUAAUACCGCAUAAUGUCUUCGGACCAAAGCGGGGGACCUCAGGGCCUCGCGCCAUCAGAUGAACCCAUAUGGGAUUAGCUAGUAGGU
This 257-nucleotide ribosomal RNA is filed under the name Morganella morganii. RNAcentral describes it as "partial 16S ribosomal RNA". It matches the Rfam family "Bacterial small subunit ribosomal RNA", at positions 1 to 253 of the family's 1533-position model. Lineage: Bacteria; Pseudomonadati; Pseudomonadota; Gammaproteobacteria; Enterobacterales; Morganellaceae. The record is from RNAcentral.